Mycena latifolia is the source of this 93-nucleotide non-coding RNA. NCBI's taxonomy places the organism in Eukaryota, Fungi, Basidiomycota, Agaricomycetes, Agaricales, Mycenaceae. The record is from the annotation of a GenBank genome assembly.
GCGGACGUGGUGUAUGGUGCACGGCUGCAUUCUGUGUAUGUGGAAGAUUUAUCUUGCACACAGCCGGACGGGGUUCGACUCCCCGCGUCCGCU